This 64-nucleotide transfer RNA is filed under the name Aelia sibirica. RNAcentral describes it as "tRNA-His". The record is from RNAcentral. Lineage: Eukaryota; Metazoa; Arthropoda; Insecta; Hemiptera; Pentatomidae.
AUUUAGAUAGUUUAAUUAAGAAUAAUAAUUUGUGGCAUUAUAGGUGAAUUAUAUUCUCUAAAUC